RNAcentral lists this ribosomal RNA (2286 nucleotides) under Triticum aestivum (bread wheat). RNAcentral's name for it is "partial small subunit ribosomal RNA". The record is from RNAcentral. Lineage: Eukaryota; Viridiplantae; Streptophyta; Magnoliopsida; Poales; Poaceae.
GCGGUGCACCGGUCCUGGGUAAGAGGGAGCGGUGCAAGGGCUCAGAGGGCUGGAGAGAUGAAGGGGAGCGGAAGGAAGAAGGGGCCUGCCCGGUCUUCUCUCGUGGUCUGGGUUUUAGGUCCCUAGCAUGGCCGCACAUCCGCCGGCGCGAACGAAGUGACGCAACGGCUCGCUCACCUGUACCCCGACCUCUACCGCGGCCACCUUCGCCUCUCUAGCGGCCUCGUCGGCCUCGACGUCUAAAUGGGCGACACGGCGAUGAUGAAGCCGCGGUCCCUGCGGGCCGGUACGCGGCCGCUCUGACGGCGGCUGGCGCGAGAGGCGGAGUUCCGGUUGAAGCGGCGAGCGCCCGAGGCCUGGUCCCCGCCUGGAUGCAUAUGGGUUGGCCACAGUGUCCUGUGGCCCAUUAAAAACACCAAUUCAGAUAUAUUCAUCGCGUUCAUAAGUACACUGUGGCCAUUUUUCAUAGCUACCUGUGGCCGAUUUGGUGCUUGUUCUGCCUUGCGUUCACGUUCGGGCAGAUUGCCGGGUACACCAGCUAGUUAGACUAACUAACUUACCAGGAUUUUUUUAGACUAAGUUAGAUGCGCAUAGCACGCGGACAACGGAUGACCAAAGAGGGGAGGAGAUGGACUAAAGAGGCCUUCUCUGAAUGGAUGACAAGCGUACACACGGGUAGGCACGAAGGUGCAUGCACUAAAAUAAACUAACCUUGUUUUAUUCUAGGCCGGGGUAGGAGAAUUUUAGUCCUCUACUAAUCUAAUCUUUCUUUUUUUAAUUUUUUGUUGUUGGCCUCUUACUUCACCCUCGUGCCUACCUUCGUACUCCUCCCUAGUCCGUUCGGCCUAGGCUAAGCAGGGUCCGGUAGUAACGGAACGGAAGAAGGACAAGCGGUUGGGCGGUGAGUGGAACGCUGUACGGCCGCAACGAUCUAGCGACGUCUUCUGUAAUGCCGUUUCCGUUGAGCGAGUAGGGAAGUACGUAGAUAAGGUAGAUAAAUAAUGGUAGAUUAACCUAAUUAUAAUAACACAAAAAGAUUAAAAACCUCAUCAAGUGUAGACAAACUCUUAACAUAAAGAUACUAUAGAGUUAAAAAUGCCGCCAAGUGCAGAUAAACGUUUAAUCUAAUGACACUAAAAAUUCAAAACCUCACCAAAAGGUUAAAAGGUUAGUAACUUGUAAAAAUUAACAACUCAAAACUAAAAAUACGUACCGUUCUAUUGUAAUGAACUAUAGGUGCGUAUACACUAUCGUAACGUGACCCUGUGGCCCUGUUAAAACAGGAUCCAGGCGGGGACGAGGCCUGGACGCAGGUACCGCAGGACGACCAGCUCGACAGCCCAGUGGGCGUGCACGACGAGGACGUUCAGUCCUUGAGGAGGAAGGAGGAGGGCCCGCCGGCGGAGUCCGGACGGCUCGUUCUACAGGUUCCGGACUUUGCGUUCGAAAGGUCGUUCGAUCGGCGACGCCUAGGUUUGCCGCUGGUGGUGACCGUCUAGCCCCUCACGUAACCGUACACCACCUCUAGUCUUAAGCUCCGGUCCGGUCAAGGUAUAGGCGGAGGUUCGUGAGCACGUGGGUUCCUUACGCACUUCGACAAGAACCAAUCCGACGGGUACCGAGCGGUCAAGCAGCACGGCUCCUUGGAGUUCGAGGAUCGGCACGGAGACAGGGUCUAAGUGCUGUUACGAGUCCACAUACCGGGUUAGUAUAGACCUUAAGGCUUAGACGAGAGGUUCAAGAGGAAGUUGCAACAUUCCUUGACUCUUCCACGAAACACAGCCCCAAAAAACAUGUUCCCCGACGUAAAAACCAAUUAUCGGUAUCUUGUUAUAUGUCUUGUGCCUGACAGUCUAUUCUGAUACAUGUGCGGUCGACGUCGAUCAAGUCGGGCAGAGGCCAGCCUGCACCGCUACCACCGUGUUCCUGUAAGCAUCGAAGAAUUCCGCAACAACGCCUUUUCCAACUAAAUCAGACUCCUGACGAUGUGUGUGCUACCUAACACCGGCUAGACACCUGCUGUUCGAUAUCGUCGGUAGCUAGUCAACUCAAGUGCACCCGGCGUCGGUAGCUAGUAGUCCAGCAGACUCUUAACAGGUCGCGUAACAGCAGACGUAUCACUAAAGCAAAUCAGAUCCACAAUAAAAGUAUAGAACAUUACCAAGCGGACACCAACGGAACAAAAUAUGAAACGAAGUAUUAAUUAUUUUUUCAACCUCGAUCAAGCCAUUCCGUACAUUUUAGCAUGAUAGUCAAACGAACAGGACGCUUGGUCAAACACUUGUU